RNAcentral lists this ribosomal RNA (292 nucleotides) under uncultured bacterium. RNAcentral describes it as "partial 16S ribosomal RNA". The record is from RNAcentral.
GGACUACUAGGGUAUCUAAUCCCGUUCGCUCCCCUCGCUUUCGUCCCCGAGCGUCAGGUACCAGCCAGGACAUUGCCUUCGCCUUCGGUGUUCUUCCGGAUCUCUACGCAUUUCACCACUCCACCCGGAGUUCCAUGUCCCUCUCUGGCCCUCGAGCUGCGCCGUCUUCGUGGCCCUCGGUCAGUUAAGCCGACCGCUGUCACCACAAACGCACGCAACCGCCUGCGGACCCUUUACGCCCAGUAACUCCGGACAACGCUCGCCCCCUACGUAUUACCGCGGCUGCUGGCAC